This 3164-nucleotide long non-coding RNA is filed under the name Equus caballus (horse). Its description in RNAcentral is "lncRNA (ENSECAG00000013831.4)". Lineage: Eukaryota; Metazoa; Chordata; Mammalia; Perissodactyla; Equidae. The record is from RNAcentral.
CAGAAGUGGUUCCCGGGUUUGGUGGUGGGGUGAGGAGGAGAAAUGGAAGUUUACCCAGAGAGUUUCCACUGUUUGAUUGUUUUGUUUCUUUAAAAAGCUUAAAUGAAUAGGACUUAAUGUUCAUACGCUGGAAAGUUCCAUAUUUAAUUUUCUAUUCUUACCUGUUUCAUUUAUUUAUUUAUUUAUUUGAGGAAGAUUAGCCCUGAGCUAACAUCUGCUGCCAGUCCUCCUCUUUUUGCUGAGGAAGACUGGCCCUGAGCUAACAUCCAUGCCCAUCUUCCUCUACUUUAUAUGUGGGACGCCUGCCACAGCAUGGCUUGCCAAGCGGUGCCAUAUUCGCACCCAGGAUCCAAACCAGCGAACCCCAGACCGCCUAAGCAGAAUGUGUGCACUUAACAGCUGCACCACCGGUCCGGUCCCUUAUCUGUUUUAGAAAUUGUUCAGAAUAAAAGAUAAUCAUUUUUUUAAAAAAGAAGAGGAAACAAGGAAGAGCACUGGGCCAGAGUUCCCGUUGGGAUUCCAGGUGCAGAUCUGCAGGCCCCCACUGUUGCCUUGGCUCUGGACAUGCUUACUGCUCCUACUAGAAAGCAAGCUUCUGAGGACCAGGCCUGUGUCUGGCUCACUGACCCGAUCCAGAGGGCUAACCUGAAGCCUAGCACACACCUCCAGCCCGCGGCGUCUGGCUGGGCCGUGUGCAGGGCGUCUGGCCCCAGGGAGAGGUGGGGUAAGCCGAAGUCUACACCUACACGGCUAUAAAUAGGGAGACUCUGAGGACUGCUCACUCAGCCUCCCGCCCCCAGCUGUGACAGCACCGGAGCCUCUCGGACGCCUGGACCAUGGACCCCAGGGAAUGCUCCUGCAUGUCUGAAGGAAUCUGCCUCUGUGGAGACAACUGCAAAUGUACAACUUGCAACUGUAAAACAUGUCGAAAAAGCUGCUGUCCCUGCUGCCCACCAGGCUGUGCCAAGUGUGCCCGGGGCUGCGUCUGCAAAGGGGGCUCGGACAAGUGCAGCUGCUGCCCCUGAAACGCAUCCAUCGUGCUGGGGGCGAGGCCUGGGAAGCAUCUGUACAGUGUAUUAGUCAAGAAGUCAGAAUGAUUGUACAAUAGGUUGUGCUUUUUAUAUAUUUGCUGUUUGGUGACAGUCAUGUAAAGUGCUUGGAGCAAUAAAGUUGUCACUCGUGGUUGUCUGGUGGCUCAGAGCACUGUUUUACCCUAACCCAGCAGGACUAAGAAGGGCUGACUCCAUUGCAGAUACAGUAGGGACCAGCCUGCAUCCCUUCUGCAGAUGGCUGCUAACCCCAUGAUCCCUCAGGCUUGCUCCUGCUGCGUGAACUUGCUGGACGCAUGCACAGGACAGGCUGGGAGUAUUGGGAGUCAACACCCUUGGGAACAGCCCUUAAUGGAUGACAAACAGGAGCUGGUGGAUAAAUACCCCCAGCAUCUUUAUUCUUACAGUGAGACAAAUCUGAGAUAUUCUACACCAUCCCCAGAAGUCCCCAGCAGCACUGAGCUCCAAUAGCCCACUGUGAAACCUGCUCAUUAACAUGCCCCAUAUUGGCUUCAUUCCUUCUCUGCCCCACUUCUGCAUUCUCCUACCAGUGCUUCCUGGGAUCCCCACCCAAAGAAGUACUUUUACAGGGUCUGCUCUGGGGGUGACCCAUCUAAGCCAGGCUCUCCUGACAUGCUGUUGACCAAGAAUGCCUCACUGUGCUAAUGGUGCUGUUUAAGGGGCGUUAGCACUGAAUCAGCCACAAACGGGGUGUCUGUGCAGAUCUAAGGAAAAGCCCCAAGGCCAAGACAAUGAGGGCAUUAGCUGCCCAGGUUUGGAUAUUGGGCCAGCCUUCAGGAUGGGGCGACUGCGCAGACAGGGCCCAGGGGCAGCUGAUGCUGUUCAUUGCAGUUCUUGCAUUUCACAGAAGUCAAUGCAAAGAGAAACCGAAAUCUUCCAUUAUUUCACUCAGAUUGCUGACGUGAAUCAGAGCUUUCGCUACACCAGCACAAUUCCGAUGAAGUUUGAUGAUGAUAAUAGUUGCCAUUAUGCAGCACUCAUGAUGCACCAGCCAUUGUUCUGAGCACUUUACACACGUGCUCUCAUUUAAUCCCUACAAUAGCCCUGCAGAGGGGUGGGUCGUGUGGAGGCAUCCUUGAUUUUUAAAAAAUGAAUUAUUUUUAAACAGGUCUACACACACAAUGUACAAAACACAAAGAUACAAAAGGUAUAAGUCUUCUCCCCAUAUUCAUGCCCCAGUCUCCCCUCCCCAAGAUAACUACAGUAACCCCUUUCUUGCGUAACCUUCCAGGGUAUUCCAUGCCUGUACAAGGAUGUAUGACACACAGCAUCACACACACACACACUGCAGAGUACUACAUACCCUGGGAAACUUGGGAAAUGUUUUCCCUUGUAUAGUAAACUCUCCAUCAGGUCCUUUUUUCCACUUAAGAGAGAAGAAUAAGUAUAAGGAAAAAUAAGAAGAUUAAACAACCACGAAAUAAGGUGACAAGACAAGAAAACGAUGGAAAGGCCUGGCCCUUGGAGUCUGACGCUCCACCUUCCCCCACUGCGUGACCUUGACCAAGUCACUUACCUCUGAGUCUCAGUUUCCGCUUCGUGAAACAUACCGCCCUCCCAGGGAGAGACCAUAGCAAAAGGUCUAUGCACAUAGUAGGUGCUUCAUAAACAGGGAUUUUAGUAGGGCUGCAGCCUUUCUUAGGCUUCGGUUUAUUAAUCUCUGAGAAGGUCCCCACCAAGUCACUCUCUGAUUGCAGAGCUCUCAGGCCCCUUGGGAAGGAGGUGAUGUUGGCAAUGACACUGUCCAGGGGACAGAGCAGUCCCUUGUGUCUCCAACAGGCACGCAGGCCACUCUCCCUGCCACCUCAGCCUCAGCACCCACAGGGAUGCCAUCUCAGCUCAUCUAAAUGCUUUACCCGAACAGUCUCCUUUAUUCCUAUCACAACCUGGAAGCGACAAUCAGCCCCCAGAGUCUAAUUUUAAUAAUAAUACCAAUCACCAAUAUUUAUUGAGCACUUCAUAUGUGCCAAGCACUGGAGUAAGCAUUUUGUAAACAUUAUCCCAUGGGCCCUGCACAAUCCGGGCUGCGCUAGAGCUGGGCAAUCUGGGCUCUGCUAUGGACCCCCUGCCUUACAGAGUCUGUCUCUGACCCUC